Long non-coding RNA from Pseudopipra pipra, 10301 nucleotides. RefSeq lists it as uncharacterized. NCBI's taxonomy places the organism in Eukaryota, Metazoa, Chordata, Aves, Passeriformes, Pipridae. The transcript has 4 exons. The record is from RefSeq and is a predicted model, not a curated record.
AAGUGACAGGGCAAUGAAGUGAAACUCCUGAACAGUGUAAAAGAAAUCUGAGCAUUUUAGUCAUUUCACAAGUGGCUGGUUCUACAAUAGGAUGCUUUGUGCAAUUAAAUUAAUAUAAUAAUUGCCUUCACUGAAGUUAAUGGAACGAUGUAAGUAUAAACACAAUGCAGGAGCACAAUUCAGUCUAUCAGUCACCCUCAUAGAGGGAAUGAUGUCGUCUCCAAAGAGGAUAUCAGAUGCUUCUCUAAUUUAAGGAGGGGAGCCUUUUUCUUUUAGUGCUUGCUGCAGCUUUGAAAAAAGCCAAUAACCUACAUUAGUUCAGCGCUGUUCCCAGUGGGCUGCAAUUACUGUGUGGUCCCUGGUAUAAAUGAGGUUUCCCUCCUGAGGAUUAGCUCUGUCCUCACUGAGCAGCUGAAGUGAAUCAGAGGCUGUAGCUAGGACUAGGCAAGGGACAAGUGCAAAGCUGUAGCUCAGUGAUGAUGACCAUGUCAUUGGGGAAGAGCAGGGAAGGGAGGGGAUGAAGACACCCUUUCAGAGCAGCCAGGCUAAUUUCUUACUAUUACUAAAAGUAGAACAAAUAAAAUAGAAGCUCCAGUGAAUUAUUUACAUUGCUGUGUUUCAAAGCAGAUGGAGAGUUUUAUAUCCCAUUGUGAAAGGCAUGCAAGUUACAGUGACAUGAGUUCUAAUUAUGAACAACUUAAACUACACCAUCUGCAUUUAACAAAGCUCCAUAUGCAGGGAUAUGAUCCAGCUUGGCUGCCUGUAUUUGUCAGCAACACGUGUAAAAUAGAUACCAAGAGGAAGACUCUAAAGACACCUGGCUUUGUGGGAGAAACUGGAAAUGUUUGCAGUGCCCCUUCUGCCUUCACUGACCAAACAGGAAACCAGGAGCAAUAAUCAUUCCAGGACAGAAUUAGUGACUCCAUGUGAAAGGGGCAUUGAUACACACAUUUGCCAAGUUCAGCAAGUUUUAAUUAACACUUGCUUUUCUUUUUUUUCUUUCUUUUUUCCUUAAUUUUUCUUUUUCUUUUUGGCAGAAAAUUUCCCGUCAUCUUCCCCAUGGCAACCUGGGCAGACAGGAUGUAAUUUUAGCUGUCCAUAUUGAAAGCUCAACCCUUUUUACCAUCAACAGCGCACUGCUGUGCAAAUUUGAGCAUAAGGGAUCUGUUGAAUUCAGUUUAAAGAAGAAUAAGAAAAUUAAUCCUCCUUUGGAAAAGGGACGUUUAUUGAGACAAACAGCCCUGUUUUGGGUAACUACCAAAAACACAAAUCAAUAUCCAAAACUUUGACUUUUAAGGGGUUCCCUCUAUGCUCUGUGGGAAGAGGAAUUGUUUUGCUGUUUCUUUAGAGACCAUUAAACACAGUCAGUAACUGAGAAGGGAUUUAGCAGGGAAGUGCUUAUUUUUCAUCUGAUAUUAGCAUUUAGUUCCACUGGAGAAAAUUCAUGAACCUGAGUUACACCUUGCUGGUUCUUCCCUGUCAUUAUAAGCACGUGAAAUACUAGGGAAUUCUAGGAAGCAUGUAAAACCCUUUGGUUGAAAAGACAAAAUUCCAGGUGAAACAAAAUAAUUUUUACUAUAUGUUUGCAUGUGGAAAAAAGGAUGGAGGAGGUCAGAUAUGUAUGUGUGACCUUUGCUUGUCAUAAGUGAUCUGCACUGCAACUCUUCUGACUCUCUCUUCAUAGCUCCAAAAGACCAAAACAGGACUAGCAGUCUCCUAGAUUAGCCCUCACCUAUCCUUUCUCUACCCCACCCAGGAAGGCUUGGAUCUGAAGCAGAGUGAAUUGCUGGUGAACUCUUGGGAUGACAAACAUCUUUCUUUAGGAGGGUUUUGUGAAUCAUCUUUUAAUGAGAGAUAGCAGCAGCUGAGCAGCUAUUAUAGUGGAUUCAGUUCAUCUUCAGGCUGGGCUCUGUAUCAUUAUGAGAUUAGAAACAAAAUACUGAAUUGGGAUAAAAAAGUGAAGUCUUUGUAAGAAAAAAUAGAUGGUGAACACAGCAUGAUUGAAAAGUGAGAGGGGAUCAUUAAUGUCUUUUUCCACAGAAAUCUGGAUGUGAGGGAUUGAGCUGAUUGUAAUAGAUUCCCCCAGCCCUUUUUCCCCUCCCUCCAUUCUGCUGCCUCUGAUAUGGAGAUUUACACUGACCUCUCAGCUUUUAAAUCAUGCAAUUUGCCAGCUCUUUGAUAGAAUGAACAUUCUCACUGGCCACUUAAUUCCUUUCUGAUCAGUACUACGUGACACCAGCAAUCAGAGGGCCUUUGAUUCACCAGGAAAAAAGGGAGAAUGGAAAUGGACUUUUUUCACCCUAACAGAGCAUUGCCCUAGUCCCAUGAGCUGGCUGUAAUCCCAGUUUCAUUUUUCUCUUUCCUGUUCUUUAGCGAUGUUAGAAACCCAGCUUUAAGCUAAGCAAGAACAAGAUAAGACAAGUUCUUUUACCAUUUGAAUACUAAGCAAAUAAAUCUUUUUAUCUCUCCCUGACUUCAGGUGCAGGAAGUAAAAAACCUUUUCUGUAUUAACACUGAAUAGGGCUGGUCCAUUCUACUUUCCCUGAAGCUUAGUUGCAUUUCUAAAAAGAGACAUAUUUAACCACAUAAAACAGUAAGAAUUGUAAGGAAAAAAUGUGAAUAUUUUCAAGAAGGCAACACUUAACAGAAGAGAUGGGAAACACAUUGAUCAUUGGAUGCUGAUGCCUCUGAUGGUCUUCUUUAUCAAACCAAGUCCUGGGGAACCAUGAGGGUUAGGGCAGAAUCUCAGCAUCCAGCUUUCUGCAGAGGGAUUUAAUUGAAAACCCAGACAGUAAAACCACCUUCAGUUCAAGCUGUGACAGGAGGAUUCUGGAGAAACUCCAUUAAAUAUUAUUUCAUGAAUCUUGGGCCAAUUUUUUCUUUACCAGUGAAAUUAUUUCAAUACAAUAUGUAAAUAUUAAGAGUUAAAAUUAAAAGGGAAAUAGAAUUUAGAUGUAAUUUAGAGUUUCUGCUCCACCUUCUGUGUGUAUAUAGGGUACAUACACUCCUUUCCUGAGCAUAUCCAUGGUGAGGAGUUGAUGUUUAAUCAGUUUUUGGAUUAUUGUUUUCACCUUGUUUACCAAACAAUGGUGUAACCGCAUAUUAAAACAGAAAAAACAUAUCCUUUCUUAUUCAAAACACUACAGAUUGAUUCAUAAAGCUUUAUAUAUAUGGUACAUUAACGUGGUUUUAAAUUGGAAACAAGGCAGGCUAAAUAUCUUGGUUUGAGGGCUGAAACCACUGGGACAGAAUUCAGGAACCAUUGACGUGAGAAGAUUUCUCCAACAGAAGAAUCUUCAGGACAUUUUGAAAUUACUGAUGUUGAGAAACUUUAGGCAGAUUUGGAACACUAUCAAAUAGAUAAACUUUUCUCACAGUAUGUUAUUUAAUCAUAUUCAAAAUAUUUCUCAGGUUGUUUGAUCAAAGCCAUUGUCAGCUUUGUAAUUUUUGAAGUGAAGUAUUCUCUCUGAUUUUUACAGGAAAGACUUACACACAGUAAAUAGGUGGCAAGGAACUGAUAAAAAGCACAAUACUUUUAAUUUGAUAUAAGUUAUUUUGACAAAAUUCUACCUCAAGAAAAUUUUAGUACAUUCUGGAUUUGUAUGGAACAAAAAAAAGAUCCUAACGUCAUAAUCUAUCUACCAGGAACAUGUACUUUUUCCUUAAAUUGCUCUUUUUAUUGAAUAAUUUAUGAAACUAACCACAGUGGUCGCUGUGUAUAUUACUUAUAUAAAUCAUCACUUCUGAAAAUGUCUUGUCUAUCCGCAGACAUGGUGCUUCAGGUGUUAAACUGCUGAACUGCUUAGCAAAGGUCUAAAAGGAGCUACUGGAUCAGCUGUGACCCAGGCCAAACUUGGGAAAUUAGGGAAUCAUUCCUUCUAUAAAAUCUGUAUUUGCAACUCCAGUUGCAAUUAGAGGUACUGCAUUUAUAGAGAGAGUUCUUGUCAAAUGUGGGAGAAGAAAUCCCUGGAGGUUUGGAGGAGCCGAAGGGGAAUAGUUGCUGGAAAGUUUUAGUUAUGAAGUGAGGAAAAGAUUGUCAAGGUCAUGGUAGCGUGUCAUGGUUUGAGAUUGCCCCCCCGGGAGUCAGAGGGGGGCUCAGAGGUGAUUGGGUGCCAGGGCAGUGUUCCCUGGAGGGCCAAUCACCACUCGUCCUGUUCGCUUCUGCUAAAAAUCACAUAUACACAGCACCGGAAGUUGUUGGCAGUUGUUCUGUUGGUGUCGGCUGCGUGUAGGUGUAGAAGGCCAGGGGGUGGCUGGGCUCCUUCUUUUCCCUUCCAGGGGGGAGGGGGAGCCCUGUGGCCCCCAACUCUGCCUAGGCCAGAGUUAGAGGAAGCAUUUGGAGUGAGUGUUUGUGAGGGACACGACUCACCGCACCUGAGGUAAGAGGAGAGAGGCAGGCCUUGCAGUCAAGCCCUCUUCCCCCUCUCUUUCUGCAGUUAAGCUGUGGAGGGGGGCCUUUUUCUUUCCCUCCACUGUAAAGUGGAGGAGAGGCUCAGCAUUUGAAGCAGAGCCAAGUGGACGGGCUGAUAAUAAAACAGCUCGAUGCUCGGGAGAAGAAUCCCAGGCGAAAUUGGAGACGGGUCAAGGGCUCGGGAGUUGCCCUGCCAAGGCUUGACUGUGGACAGCCGAAAACUGACUUGGAGGAAUGAAGAUUCCAAACACCUACUGUGAUAAGCUACACUACAGCAACAGCGAACCGAGAUAUGAGACUGAGAGAGAGAGAUCACACAGCAGACCAAGGAGAAAGGACUCAAAGCUACUUUCUUGGACUUCGUGAGGAGAAAGACUGCAGCAAACAGACAUCCUCCAUCCAUGUCCUGGGUUCUCUGCUCUGCCUCUGCUGAAUGUGGUGCAUCUGCCUGAAGAGUGUGUGAUCUCAUACCAUAAAUGUUGCCUCACACUUCAUUCUCAAGUUCCUAUGUUAGACUGUCUGGGAUUAGAAACUAAACUGCACAAAAAUUACAUGGAAGGUCUUCUUGGAGCUUCUGGCCCUAGUAAACAGACAUAUUAUGAUGAUGAUGAUGACGAUUAUUAUUAUUCUAAUUAUUAUUAUGAUACCUAGGAGCUGACUUUAAAAUUCUUGAUAUCCUUCUUCAAUUCAGAGCAAAGUGUCAUAUCCAAACCCACUAAAAUAUGGUGACCUUACUUUCUCUCUUUUUUUUUCCCUGACUUUUAAGACAGUAAGCCAUGCAGGACAUAGUUUUGCUUUUUUAUUCUUCUAGAAAAGAUGUCAUCCCUGACCAUUUUGUGGGGGUUUUUGGUUGGUUUGUUGGUUGGGGUUUUUUGUUUUUUAUUUUCCCCCCAUUCUCCAAUAAAGAAGAAUGAAAAUAAACGGGCAUUUGUUUGCUGCUGUACUUCCCAAAGUGGUUCUUCAUUUUGAACAGGUCAGGUUUUUUAAUGCCUGGGUUGAGAAGCUCUGUUUUAGGUGUCCAUCAUGUGACAACUAGCAGGCUUUUUAAAAAAAAUUGCUUUGCGGACAUGCUUUCCAAGUUUUUGUCCACUGCAUUUAGGUGUGUUUUAGGAAGCUGACUGAACACUCCCUGGCAGGAGCAUUUCCACACACCCUGAGAAAAUGGGAAGAUUUUUGAAGUCCUAUGUUGCCUAAGCAUGAACUUUCAUUGCUGUGCUUGUGAAGCUGCUUGAUGAAUCCUUGUUGCAGAAGAAGGCAGAGGAGGGAUCAGCUGCCUGCUGGAAUAAGCCUUCCAGCCCUGAAGUGAUUUCAGGGUGAAGGAUUACAGGGUUUGUAACUGUAAUCCACCUGCCUGAGUUCCCACUGUGGAGCUAAAUCAAAUCUACAAUUAAUCCACGUGUAAUAAUCUUUUUUUGUAAAACCACUGCCAGGUAGAAGGGUUGCAGGUGGACUGAAAACAGGUUAAAUUCAUUUUGAACAUUACAACUGAUAUUGUCCAUAAAAGAGUAUUUGACAGAGACCCCUGUCAACAAUGUGUAUCUGUAUUUUUUCAUUCCCUUUCCAUGAUAAUGGAGAGAAAACCUAUUUUAGUUUAGUUAAUGGAAUUUGUUACUAAGCUUUUGUGAAUUUAGGAUUUUAGAAAUAAUUACAAUUGAUUAAUACGCAAUGCAUGAAUAAUUAUGUAUAUGAUUAGUGUGUACAAUAAUAAUAUACAUGAUUAAUAUGUACAGCAUGAAUAUGUACAACUCAGAGAAGAAUAUAUGUUUUAAGUUGCUAACAGAGGAUUAGGAAGUCAUGAGUCAGAGUACCAGGAAAAGGAGAAGCAACUUAAAUCAUCUGUCUUAAUUUUACUCAUGGGAGACUGAGGGCUAAGUUAAAAUUCUGCAUAGUGUUAGUGAGAGUAAAAAUCAUUAUUGUCUUUAAUAUUGUGGUAGUUUGUGAAAAGGAUUCAGUAACUCAGCUCUGCAUAAUCAGGAUCUAGUUGCAGUGACCCAGGGGGUCACUUCCAGUUCUGUGCCUCUAAUGAUAAUAUUUAAAGGCAAAGCCAUAAUGGAUGUGAAUGGAUUUUUUUCAGCUACACAGAAAAAAUAGCUGCACUUUGUAAACUAAAUGCCCUUGCUUGCUCUGCUGAGACAUGUGUAGAAGUCAUCUACUGACUGUGAAAGUUCCUUAACCUGGUGGUGAGUCAUCCAUCACUGAAUGCUGGAUCCAAUUAGUGAAGUCAGGAUUGUUUUCCCAAUGUCCUCUAAGUAGUUAAAAGAACCUUGAACAAAAACUGAGUACUUUAAGCACUUUGGAGAUCACACUGGGGGGCCAAAAGGAGGAAUGGCAAUUGAUACAAUGAAACCAUUGAAAAAGACAUGAUAUUCUGGAUUUUGGAACGUACUUGUCUCAAGUACAAAGAUGAAGCAAACAGUCCAGCAUACAAAUAGUUAAUUUUCCUGCAGAGACCUCCAUUGGUUAUUGAAGACAGAUCAAAAUUAGAAAUUUUCACUUCACAGGAAAUGAACCAUUUCUGCAUGGCAUUUUAUAGACCUCUUAUUUUUAUAAAACAAUAUGUUUGAAAAAAUCUUAAGUAACUUGAAUUACUGUACUCAAAGCAAACAUUUUGUCUUCUCAUUUUUAAUUUUGAAACAUACAUCAAACAUAGAGUUGAAAAAAACCAAAUUACUAUAAACAAAAAAAUCUCUUCUUUGAAAUUAACAGGAAGCUGUGAUUUUAACCAGAUUAGCAUUUUCCCAGAAAUAUAUUCUGCUAGACAAUAUUGGACUGUUUCAGUUGUUACUAAAUAGAAUAAAAAACAUUUUGAUGAAUGGCUGGACAUAGAGAGAGAUUGGUUUUGAUUUCACUGUGGUGACUCAGGUAUCAUGUAGCAAAACAGUAGUUAUGAAAUCUGGGCUUCUGUGAUGGUCAAACUGCAGCCUGUCUAAAAUGAAGACAGAUACUUAUAUUCUCUGCCUUUUGUUUUGUUUUUUUGAUUCUUCUGUUCCCUUAUUUUAUAUGAAACCAUGUGAUGAAAAUUAUUUUAGAAUAGUUGUUUUUAAUAUAAAAAUAUAUAAAUAAAAUAUUAAUUAGAAAAUAUUAAUUUAUAUCCUGUUAACUAUCCUUUGAUUCAUGAACUGUAGUUAAUCAUGGGUAGAGUUAUAAAAGGAAUUGAGCCUGAAGCUGUUGUACUCGGGUCAUUUAAAAGCCAAUUUUAUGUGCUGUUCUUUCUGUGAUCAAUUGCUGUGUCAUUUGAAAAUGCAUAUAGAAGAAACAGCAAUUGCUCCUUAUGGAAUCAGAUCCCUGCUGCCUCCUGGCUUGACAUGCAGCUCCUCUAUCCACCAGCACACAAGAACAUCCUUACUGAGGGAAGUUCCUGGAGAGACCAGAGUCACAGAAUAUGCUGAUUUGGAAAGGACCCAUCAGGAUCAUUGAGUCCAACUCCUGGCCCUGCACAGGACACCCCAAGAGCCACACCAUGUGCCUGAGAGUGUUGUCCAAAUGUUCUUCAACUCAGACAGCCUUGGAGUUGUGCCCACUGCCCUGGGGAGCCUGUUCAGUGCCCGACCACCCUCUGGGGGAAGAAUCUUUUCCCAAUGUCCAAACUAAAGCUCACCUGACACAACUUCAGACCAUUCCCUGGGGUCCUGUCCCUGGUCCUCACAGAGCAGAGCUCAGUGCCUGCCCUUCCUCUUCCCCUCCCGAGGAAGCUGUAACUGCAAUGAGGUCUCCCUCAGUCUCCUCUUCUCCAGCUGAACACACCAAGUGCCCUCAGUUGAUCCUCAUAAGGCUUCCCCUCCAGACCCUUCACCAUCCUCAUGGCCCUCCUUUGGACACUCUCCAAUAGCUUAAUGUCUUUUUUUAUAUUGUGAUGCCCAAAACUGCACAGAGGACUCAAGGUGAAGCCGACCCAGGGCAGAUCCAGCUGUAGUGCUUUGCUUCAAUGUGCAAAACACCUUCUCUCUGGCUCAAAGCUUCAGGGACUCCUCCCACGUGGGUGCUGAACCUUCCUCAUGGAAAUGAUGUAGCUCAUAAUGUCAUUGCUUGGCAGGGAGAGAAGAGAGGCUAGAGAAGCAGAGAAUCUGCUUUGUUUUGAGGGCAGUGGUGAGGCUCCCUAUACAAUUUAGGGGUUACAGCCUCUGAUGGGGAAAGACAACCUAAGGAACCACUGCUCUGUUUCUGGAAAGAUAAGGCUACAAAAAUACCAUGAGGGCCCAGAGAUCUUCAGCUGGCAGAAAUCAUUACUGCUAAGCUGAUGUCAAAGGCAGCAGCACUGAUUUACACCAGCUGAGGCCAAGGGAUAGGCCAAGGUGGGGGCAGAGCUACAAAAAGUACAAAUGAGCUCCUAGAAGACAAGCCUUUGUUUCCACUGAUGUAGAACUACAUUUAAUUUGCCAGUAUGGACUGAGAGUAGUUAUCAAGUUUAUUUAUAACCUUAAGGAUAGAAAUUCAUCAAUGAGAGCUUUCCUCACAGUCUCUACUUUAUAUCUGCAGUAGAAGUAAAAAAUAACCAGUGGAAGUGAAAUAAAUUGGUUUAUGUGGCAUUGGAAGUUUUAUGUUAGUAUAUUAUAAAAUAACAAACACAUAGACAUAAAUUGUCCUGGAUAAUAAUAUCAGAUGCCAUCUAUGAAUUUAUAAUUUACUAAUUACCAGACAAAGAGCAGCAAGCUCUUUAGCAUCUCUCAGUUACAGGAAGCAAACAGCCUGAUCUGCUAAUACACUGUUCGUCUCUGUGGAAAUUAGAAGAUUGUGUUCUAACCUUUGCUGAGAAUCAUCCAAUCAUUUCAUAUUAACCAUUACAGCUUGAGGUGCUGCAUUUACUGCUACAGUGUAAAUGACAGUGACUUCUGGAUAGAUUUUCAUGGUGGCCUCCUUCAAGCUAAGCAAUGUGCUCUGCCCCAAGACUAUUUCUCAGGUCUCAAGUGUCCCCAUCCUGCAGUCCCAGGCUGCUUGAUAUAAAUCCUUCAGAGCUAUGACAAUCUUAUGCCUUUUAUAGGGUAUUGUGGCAGGGUUUCUUAGUUUGAGAGCAGCCUCCAGGCAAAUAACUUAGUGGCUGAAGCAAUUUCAGCAAAACAUUUGUUUGAGGGUUUUUUUCUGGGAGGAGUAAGAUGACUUUCAAAAACUAGAAGUCUCCAGAGAAAUGUGAGAUCCUUUCUCAAGCAUAUUUUUCCAGGUCAAAAUCAGAGAAGCCAGAAUGCUUUUCAAUGAUGACACAUAAGGUGACUAUGAAUACCCACCUAAGUGCAGGACAGCUGGGAGAGCUACACCUGCCCUGCUUUAGAAAACUCAGGUUUUCUGCAUGUCAUCUGAGUGUCUGAGCCUGUACCCUUGGAGGACUCAGCAGAAGUUACCUAAGGUCCUGAGCAAGCUGGUUUCAGAGGCACCACCACAAAUUCUCUGAGAAAAAAUUUUUAAUAAAGGUAAAUUCACCAAAAGCUGUUGAGCUCAAUGUUGUACAAGUAGAAUCUUCUCCAGGAUCUGGGCUUUCCCUGCAUUGGGGAAAUUUCCCUGCAUUGCUUCUGCGAGGACUGUAAGUGAUCUCUCACGUGUUUCUGUCCCUCACUGAGCCUUGUUUGCUGUAUUUAGCUUAGCUUUAGGGAAAUGGCUGAAAAUCUGCACCCCAAAUAAUCCCGAGGAAAGGUGAUUUGAAGCUAGGAAAUGUACUUAGCUUUUUCCUUCUGGGAUUUUUCUGGUAGCAAUGUCAAGUCUCAAAUUCAUAAUCUGCAAAAGGUACUUAACUCGUCUCAGUGCAAUAGUGUAAAAUAAGUAAAUUCUGAUACGUCAAAAAAUAUUCUUUGGACAAGAAAAAUCAUCUCUAUGAAAUAACUUCAUCUGUUCUGGCGUUUUUGCAUUUCUUCCUUCCAUCUAAUUAUAUGUACAUAUAUACACACGUGCAAACUUUUGUAAA